RNAcentral lists this ribosomal RNA (243 nucleotides) under uncultured bacterium. RNAcentral describes it as "partial 16S ribosomal RNA". It matches the Rfam family "Bacterial small subunit ribosomal RNA", at positions 15 to 238 of the family's 1533-position model. The record is from RNAcentral.
GAUCCUGGCUCAGGAUGAACGCUGGCGGCGUGCUUAACACAUGCAAGUCGAACGAAGCACUUUAUUUGAUUUCCUUCGGGACUGAUUAUUUUGUGACUGAGUGGCGGACGGGUGAGUAACGCGUGGGUAACCUGCCUUGUACAGGGGGAUAACAGUUGGAAACGGCUGCUAAUACCGCAUAAGCGCACAGCAUCGCAUGAUGCAGUGUGAAAAAUUCCGGUGGUAUAAGAUUGGACCCCGUCG